This 75-nucleotide transfer RNA is filed under the name Gammaproteobacteria bacterium. RNAcentral describes it as "tRNA-Gln". It matches the Rfam family "tRNA". From Rfam's summary of the family: Transfer RNA (tRNA) molecules are approximately 80 nucleotides in length. The record is from RNAcentral. Lineage: Bacteria; Pseudomonadati; Pseudomonadota; Gammaproteobacteria.
UGGGGAGUCGCCAAGUGGUAAGGCACCGGGUUUUGAUCCCGGCAUUCCCAGGUUCGAAUCCUGGCUCCCCAGCCA